Molecule: ribosomal RNA, 303 nt
Filed under: uncultured bacterium
Lineage: Bacteria
Description: bacterial SSU rRNA
Rfam family: Bacterial small subunit ribosomal RNA
Source: RNAcentral
AACGAACGCUGGCGGCGUGCUUAACACAUGCAAGUCGAACGGUAAAGCUCUUCGGAGUGAUUAGAGUGGCGCACGGGUGAGUAAUACAUAGGAACGUACCUUUCGGUGGGGGACAACCACGGGAAACUGUGGCUAAUACCGCAUAAUAUCGAAAGAUCAAGGGAGGCCUCUGCUUGCAUGCUUUCGCCGGAAGAUCGGCCUAUGUCCCAUUAGCUUGUUGGUGGAGUAAUAGCCUACCAAGGCGACGAUGGGUAGCUGGUCUGAGAGGAUGAUCAGCCACACUGGGACUGAGACACGGCCCAG